GAUGAACGCUGGCGGCGUGCUUAACACAUGCAAGUCGAACGGAGAAAGGGUAGCUUGCUAUCUUUCUUAGUGGCGGACGGGUGAGUAACGCGUGGGUAACCUGCCCUUUGCAGGGGGAUAACAGUGAGAAAUCACUGCUAAUACCGCAUACCAACUUCUUCGCAUGAAAGAAGUUUGAAAGAUUUAUCGGCAAAGGAUGGACCCGCGUUGGAUUAGCUAGUUGGUGAGAUAACAGCCCACCAAGGCAACGAUCCAUAGACGGCCUGAGAGGGUGAACGGCCACACUGGGACUGAGACACGGCCCAGACUCCUACGGGAGGCAGCAGUGGGGAAUAUUGCACAAUGGGCGAAAGCCUGAUGCAGCGACGCCGCGUGAAGGAUGAAGGUCUUCGGAUUGUAAACUUCUAUCAGCAGGGAAGAAAGGGCCUAUGGCCUAUGACGGUACCUGACUAAGAAGCCCCGGCUAACUACGUG
Molecule: ribosomal RNA, 474 nt
Filed under: uncultured bacterium
Lineage: Bacteria
Description: bacterial SSU rRNA
Rfam family: Bacterial small subunit ribosomal RNA
Source: RNAcentral